Molecule: ribosomal RNA, 527 nt
Filed under: uncultured bacterium
Lineage: Bacteria
Description: partial 16S ribosomal RNA
Source: RNAcentral
CUAGCGACUCCGACUUCAUGGGGUCGAGUUGCAGACCCCAAUCCGAACUGAGACCGGCUUUUUGGGAUUCGCUCCACCUCGCGGUAUCGCAGCCCUUUGUACCGGCCAUUGUAGCAUGCGUGAAGCCCAAGACAUAAGGGGCAUGAUGAUUUGACGUCAUCCCCACCUUCCUCCGAGUUGACCCCGGCAGUCUCCUAUGAGUCCCCACCAUCACGUGCUGGCAACACAGGACAAGGGUUGCGCUCGUUGCGGGACUUAACCCAACAUCUCACGACACGAGCUGACGACAACCAUGCACCACCUGUACACCGACCUUACGGGGAGCACAUCUCUGCACUUUUCCGGUGUAUGUCAAGCCUUGGUAAGGUUCUUCGCGUUGCAUCGAAUUAAUCCGCAUGCUCCGCCGCUUGUGCGGGCCCCCGUCAAUUCCUUUGAGUUUUAGCCUUGCGGCCGUACUCCCCAGGCGGGGCACUUAAUGCGUUAGCUGCGGCACGGAACCCGUGGAAUGGAUCCCACACCUAGUGCCC